CAGUCGUGCAGUGACCGUGGUAGCGUGGAGCCAGCCGGAUGUGCACUCAAAUAAAAAGGUCAGAGCAGAGACGGACGGCGGCCUGAGAGGGCAGCAGAUUCGCGCUAACAGAGCAGGUCAAGCAGGGCCUCCUCGCCUUGCUCUUCCGCUUCAGCAUAUACGUCUCCAAGCUCAGGAAAUGCAGUUACAUCAAAUGUCUAAAUUGGAUGGAAAGAAAUUCUGUGUGCUCCCAGGAUUCCAGUUCCUUACCGGAGGUUGGUGCCGUCUGAGUCUGAAAAGCUGCCCUCUUGCCGUGUUCAUGCUUUGGUAGAACACCUUCAGAGCCUUGGCAAGCUCUCGGUCAGAGCCGGCUUGCUGUGUGCACAUUUGGCUCAUCUCCCCGGCGGAUGGCAGUUGCGCAGUCAUCCCGCUGAUCUUCAGAGUGUUGGAAGGCUUCGGGGCUGAGGUGGAAAAAGGAUGUGGCCUUCACCUGUGACCAUGAGGCCCAGCUGAGAGCAGCUCAGCUCGGUGCAGCCUUCUGUAAUGGGGAGAGACACAGUCAAAGAAAGAAACAUCCCAGUCGCCCAGCUCCAGUGUCAGCUUCAUGCAGUAGGCCAGCGACUGGAGCCAGAUGUGAGCUGAGCCCAAGCGGACGACCUCGACAGGAUCCCAGAAAGGGUCGUCAUCUCGAGCCACAGGGCCGUGAUCUCCAUCUAGAAAGCGCUGGUAAAGUUCCUGCAUUAGGAAUUUCCUAUUGAUGAACUUGGCUUUUGACCAUAUCCACACCUGGAAACACAGAGGGGUCCACACCCAGUGCACAGCAGAUCCAGGACAACAGCCUGCCGCUGUCUUCCUCCUCACUGGGUGAGGACAGGGCCUCUGUCAGCACUGGCUCUGGAGAGGAAACAAACCUGAAGCCACAGGAGGAGGGAUUCCAGAGGGAUUCCAGGUAGGUCGUUUUUAGACCAUAAAUAUCAGGUAAAACUAGCAACUCCUUUUCUGAGCAACUGGAAAAGCAAAAGCAAAAAUCAG
RNAcentral lists this long non-coding RNA (1011 nucleotides) under Homo sapiens (human). RNAcentral describes it as "non-protein coding LINC01341:5". Lineage: Eukaryota; Metazoa; Chordata; Mammalia; Primates; Hominidae. The record is from RNAcentral.